Molecule: small nucleolar RNA, 104 nt
Organism: Pongo abelii (Sumatran orangutan)
Lineage: Eukaryota; Metazoa; Chordata; Mammalia; Primates; Hominidae
Source: Ensembl
AUGCUUUCGUAGUCUGUAGAUGUUAUGAUUGGAUCUUCAUGCUCAUGUGUGAGAUGUGCCUCUCUCCAGCCUUGUUAGGAUGUUGGGACAUUACCCAUCUGACA